GCUAUGAUUGCACCACGGCACUCCAGCCUGAAUGAGAAUUGAUUUCUAUAAUUAUAUGGAAGCAUGUGAAAACCCUACCAUUUCCAAGGAUCUGACCAACAAUUACAGCAGGAAAUGUGGUCAUCUAAUUUAACUCUUAAACAUCAUCAGCAAGACUAAAAGCUUGGAUGCAUCCCAAUUAUCCCCACAAAUUAAUGGUCAGACAUUCUGGAUUUUCAUGGUUUUGGCUUCAGAAAAUUCUAAGUCUAGAAAGCAGCUGUUUCUAUGGGUAUCCCAAAGAAGAAAACUGCUACAUGAAACAAGAGCAAACUGUGGUCUCAUCUGCACAUUUGCAGAGUAGCAUCAGAUCCAUGGAGAUGCUGCUCACUGAAAAAGUAACACCCAUUGUGUUGGACCUCACCUACGUGACCUUUCCGGGGCAUAGUCUGGAAGGACAUGGAAAAUUAAAAGAGAAGUUAAACACUGCACAAUUAAGUGAGAAGAACUUUGAAUCUCAAUGAAUAACUCAGGCAAGACAAUAGGAAGAGAAUGGAGAUAAGGAGAAGGUAUGAGCUACAAGAAGGAAGGUCAGCCCUCCGCCAAACCAGCAAGAUAUUCCCUGUGGUGAAGAAUGGCUGAUGAAUUUCAGCACAAAGCUAUCUAAUGUUCAGUUUCAAGUUGCUAUCUACAUGAUGCUAUGCCAUCAUCCCUCCAUUACUGCAAAGCUUCAGUAAAAGAGAGAAAGAAAGUUAACAGCAGAAAUGAGGAGCAAUAUUUAGGAAGCAUAACGGGGCAUAAAGACAUGUAAACUCUACAAAAUUACACAGGGCUUAGGAGGAGAACUCAGCUUUCAGUUUGAUGGUGAAAUAUUAGUUAAACACAUCAUCCCCAAAGGGAUGUAUUUGCAUCUUCUAUGAACGAUGAUGGAAACAGUCUCAGUUUAUCAGCAAGAUGGCUGAGGAUGCACUUACCUAAAUGAGCAAUGAAGAUUCAUCUGCUACAGCUGAACUGUAUUUGCAUAGGCUAACUUAUUGAGAAGGAAAAUUCUGGAAUAUAAAGGAGAGAAGGCUGAAAAGUGAAGGGUGCAACCUAAGACUCUGACCAGUGACUAGGAGUUUUCCAGAGGAGGAAGAACGGGAAAGGCAUUUCAGGAAAAGGCCAGCAUGAACACGCAUAUGAAGCUGCACGCAGGUGCAGAAAAAGGGAGUGGCAGCCUAUUUUUUCUGACUGUAAAAUGGACUACAAGAGAAAAUUCCUGCUCAGAGGGUGCCCUCUCUUGGUAAGCGUGCACAUGCAGUGUUUCUCUCC
Molecule: long non-coding RNA, 1287 nt
Filed under: Homo sapiens (human)
Lineage: Eukaryota; Metazoa; Chordata; Mammalia; Primates; Hominidae
Description: HSALNT0390706
Source: RNAcentral